GUUUAGUUUUGUUUGAUUUUUGUUUUUAAAUCUUAAUGGUCGGGGCAUUUAAUAGCCGACUAAAUAGUAGUUUUUUUUUCAUUUUUGGAGGCCGCUCGGUGGCCUUUAAAGACUUACUACCACGUCAUUGUAACUCUGGUUGAUACUUGUAUCAUUAGUGCUGGACCAUGGUCGAUCCUAUGCACCUUUGAGGCAGGCGGGAUAUUUUUGUAGAUCUUGUACAGCUCAAACUAAUGGGAGUAGUUCCUGUACUUCUAUGUCUAGUCCCAUGUUGCAUGGUUGGAGAGGGUGUAAUAUCUUCUGUAGGUUUGAUGAAGUUUCACCCGUAUCGGACUUCUUCUCCUGAAUGAAAGCUUUAAGGCGACGAGUAUUUUUGUAUGCAAUGUGCCCUUAACGUGUCUCAAACUUAUCUGUAGCGUUUUCAACGCUCGUGUAGCGUGUAUAUUAUGUGCGUGCAGUUUACAGGUAUA
RNAcentral lists this long non-coding RNA (470 nucleotides) under Mytilus galloprovincialis (Mediterranean mussel). The record is from RNAcentral. Lineage: Eukaryota; Metazoa; Mollusca; Bivalvia; Mytilida; Mytilidae.